UGCAUAACUAGGCCAAAUUCCCGGGCACCGGGGAGCGGGGGAACCAUUUUUUUGGGUGAAUUGAUCUUGUAACUAGAGAGGUCAUAGGGAACCUUCAAACCGAAUCCUUAAGCUAACCACGCAGGCAUUGGAAGGAGAACAU
Molecule: small RNA, 142 nt
Filed under: Paenibacillus sabinae
Lineage: Bacteria; Bacillati; Bacillota; Bacilli; Caryophanales; Paenibacillaceae
Description: c-di-AMP sequence
Rfam family: c-di-AMP riboswitch aptamer (ydaO/yuaA leader)
About the family: This family represents a conserved RNA structure found upstream of the ydaO and yuaA genes in Bacillus subtilis and related genes in other bacteria. The ydaO/yuaA element is thought to act as a genetic "off" switch for the ydaO and yuaA genes in its native state. It is believed that the element may be triggered during osmotic shock leading to activation of ydaO, a predicted amino acid transporter gene, and members of the yuaA-yubG operon which code for KtrA and KtrB K+ transporters.
Source: RNAcentral